RNAcentral lists this ribosomal RNA (404 nucleotides) under Fusobacteriota bacterium. Its description in RNAcentral is "Fusobacteria bacterium partial 16S ribosomal RNA". It matches the Rfam family "Bacterial small subunit ribosomal RNA", at positions 355 to 776 of the family's 1533-position model. Lineage: Bacteria; Fusobacteriati; Fusobacteriota. The record is from RNAcentral.
CGGGGAAUAUUGCACAAUGGAGGGAACUCUGAUGCAGCGACGCCGCGUGAGUGAUGAAGGAAUUCGUUUCGUAAAACUCUGUUCUAUGGGAAGAAAAGGACUGUACCAUAGGAGAAAGCUCCGGCUAAAUACGUGCCAGCAGCCGCGGUAAUACGUAUGGAGCGAGCGUUGUCCGGAAUUAUUGGGCGUAAAGGGUGCGCAGGCGGCUUUACAAGUUGGAUGUGAAAUAUUGUGGCUCAACCACAAACGUGCAUCCAAAACUGCAAAGCUUGAGUUAAGGAGAGGUAAGUGGAAUUCCUGGUGUAGCGGUGGAAUGCGUAGAUAUCAGGAAGAAUACCGGUGGCGAAGGCGACUUACUGGACUUAAACUGACGCUCAGGCACGAAAGCGUGGGGAGCAAACAGG